RNAcentral lists this small RNA (689 nucleotides) under Pongo abelii (Sumatran orangutan). RNAcentral's name for it is "processed transcript". Lineage: Eukaryota; Metazoa; Chordata; Mammalia; Primates; Hominidae. The record is from RNAcentral.
AGACAGUGGGGAAAGCAUGAGACUCUUUGAUGUGGAGUAAAGCCAGAGAAGGAAAAUUCAUCUGCUCACAGGCAGGCAGUCCCUGCAGGAUCCCACAUACGGCUGAAUCUUCAGACUGGGGAAAGAGAGGCAAAACUCCAAUAUGAGGACAAAUUCCGAAAUAAUUUGAAAGGCAAAAGGCUGGAUAUCAACACCAACACCUACACAUCUCAGGACCUCAAGAGCGCACUGGCAAAAUUCAAAGAGGGGGCAGAGAUGGAGAGUUCAAAGGAAGACAAGGCAAGGCAGGCUGAGGUAAAGCGGCUCUUCCGCCCCAUUGAGGAACUGAAGAAAGACUUUGAUGAGCUGAAUGUUGUCAUUGAGACUGACAUGCAGAUCAUGGUACGGCUGAUCAACAAGUUCAAUAGUUCCAGCUCCAGUUUGGAAGAGAAGAUUGCUGCGCUCUUUGAUCUUGAAUAUUAUGUCCAUCAGAUGGACAAUGCGCAGGACCUGCUUUCCUUUGGUGGUCUUCAAGUGGUGAUCAAUGGGCUGAACAGCACAGAGCCCCUCGUGAAGGAAUAUGCUGCGUUUGUGCUGGGGGCUGCCUUUUCCAGCAACCCCAAGGUCCAGGUGGAGGCCAUCGAAGGGGGAGCCCUGCAGAAGCUGCUGGUCAUCCUGGCCACGGAGCAACCGCUCACUGCAAAGAAGAA